GGGGCCGUCGUCUAGCUUGGAAAGGAUGCCAGCCUGGGGCGCGGCCGAAUCCCGGGUUCAAAUCCCGGCGGCCCCA
Molecule: transfer RNA, 76 nt
Filed under: Thermoprotei archaeon
Lineage: Archaea; Thermoproteati; Thermoproteota; Thermoprotei
Description: tRNA-Pro
Rfam family: tRNA
About the family: Transfer RNA (tRNA) molecules are approximately 80 nucleotides in length. Their secondary structure includes four short double-helical elements and three loops (D, anti-codon, and T loops).
Source: RNAcentral